AUACGGAGGAUCCGAGCGUUAUCCGGAUUUAUUGGGUUUAAAGGGUGCGCAGGCGGGAGAUUAAGUCGGCGGUGAAAUUUUGCAGCUCAACUGUAAAAGUGCCUUCGAAAAUGGUUUCCUUGAGUGUAGAUGAAGUAGGCGGAAUUUGUGGUGUAGCGGUGAAAUGCAUAGAUAUCACGAGGAACUCCGAUUGCGCAGGCAGCUUACUAAACUACUGCUGACGCUCAGGCACGAAGGCGUUGGGAUCAAACAGGAUUAGAUACCCUGGUAGUCCACGCAGUAAACGAUGAUUACUAGCUGUUUGCGAUACAAUGUAAGCGGCUGAGCGAAAGCGUUAAGUAAUCCACCUGGGGAGUACGUUCGCAAGAAUGAAACUCAAAUGAAUUGACGGGG
Molecule: ribosomal RNA, 393 nt
Filed under: uncultured bacterium
Lineage: Bacteria
Description: partial 16S ribosomal RNA
Rfam family: Bacterial small subunit ribosomal RNA
Source: RNAcentral